UACGUAGGGUGCAAGCGUUGUCCGGAAUUAUUGGGCGUAAAGAGCUCGUAGGCGGUUUGUCGCGUCUGCUGUGAAAACUCGGGGCUUAACUCCGGGCCUGCAGUGGGUACGGGCAGACUAGAGUGCGGCAGGGGAGACUGGAAUUCCUGGUGUAGCGGUGAAAUGCGCAGAUAUCAGGAGGAACACCGGUGGCGAAGGCGGGUCUCUGGGCCGAUACUGACGCUGAGACGCGAAAGCGUGGGGAGCAAACAGG
Molecule: ribosomal RNA, 253 nt
Filed under: uncultured bacterium
Lineage: Bacteria
Description: partial 16S ribosomal RNA
Rfam family: Bacterial small subunit ribosomal RNA
Source: RNAcentral